AUUGAACGCUGGCGGCAGGCUUAACACAUGCAAGUCGAGCGGGGUGAUGGUGCUUGCACUAUCACUUAGCGGCGGACGGGUGAGUAAUGCUUAGGAAUCUGCCUAUUAGUGGGGGAAAACAUCUCGAAAGGGAUGCUAAUACCGCAUACGUCCUACGGGAGAAAGCAGGGGAUCACUUGUGACCUUGCGCUAAUAGAUGAGCAUAAGUCGUAUUAGCUAGUUGGUGGGGUAAAGGCCUACCAAGGCGACGAUCUGUAGCGGGUCUGAGAGGAUGAUCCGCCACACUGGGACUGAGACACGGCCCAGACUCCUACGGGAGGCAGCAGUGGGGAAUAUUGGACAAUGGGGGGAACCCUGAUCCAGCCAUGCCGCGUGUGUGAAGAAGGCCUUAUGGUUGUAAAGCACUUUAAGCGAGGAGGAGGCUCUUUUGGUUAAUACCCAAGAUGAGUGGACGUUACUCGCAGAAUAAGCACCGGCUAACUCUGUGCCAGCCGCCGCAGUAA
RNAcentral lists this ribosomal RNA (503 nucleotides) under uncultured bacterium. RNAcentral's name for it is "partial 16S ribosomal RNA". It matches the Rfam family "Bacterial small subunit ribosomal RNA", at positions 30 to 523 of the family's 1533-position model. The record is from RNAcentral.